This 301-nucleotide ribosomal RNA is filed under the name uncultured bacterium. Its description in RNAcentral is "partial 16S ribosomal RNA". It matches the Rfam family "Bacterial small subunit ribosomal RNA", at positions 509 to 808 of the family's 1533-position model. The record is from RNAcentral.
CAGUCGCCGCGGUAAUACGUAGGUCCCGAGCGUUGUCCGGAUUUAUUGGGCGUAAAGCGAGCGCAGGCGGUUAGAUAAGUCUGAAGUUAAAGGCUGUGGCUUAACCAUAGUACGCUUUGGAAACUGUUUAACUUGAGUGCAAGAGGGGAGAGUGGAAUUCCAUGUGUAGCGGUGAAAUGCGUAGAUAUAUGAAGGAACACCGGUGGCGAACGCGGCUCUCUGGCUUGUAACUGACGCUGAGGCUCGAAAGCGUGGGGAGCAAACAGGAUUAGAUACCCCAGUAGUCCCUGUCUCUUAUACA